RNAcentral lists this transfer RNA (74 nucleotides) under Fusobacterium hominis. RNAcentral's name for it is "Fusobacterium sp. NSJ-57 tRNA-Cys". It matches the Rfam family "tRNA". Rfam says of the family: Transfer RNA (tRNA) molecules are approximately 80 nucleotides in length. RNAcentral also lists the same sequence under 17 other names. Lineage: Bacteria; Fusobacteriati; Fusobacteriota; Fusobacteriia; Fusobacteriales; Fusobacteriaceae. The record is from RNAcentral.
GGCGACGUCGCCAAGUGGUAAGGCAGAGGUCUGCAAAAUCUCCACCAUCAGUUCGAAUCUGAUCGUCGCCUCCA